Molecule: long non-coding RNA, 326 nt
Organism: Melozone crissalis (California towhee)
Lineage: Eukaryota; Metazoa; Chordata; Aves; Passeriformes; Passerellidae
Exons: 3
Source: RefSeq, a predicted model, not a curated record
GGGGCCGCAGCUCUUCGCCAUCCUGCGCCAGUGGGUGCCGCAGGUGCAGCACAGCGUGGACGUCAUCGGCAACGAGAUCCUGCGCCGCGGGUGCCACGUGGACGACAGGGACGGACUGACGGACAUGACCCUGCUGCACUACGCCUGCAAGGCCGGCGCGCACGGCGUGGGUGACCCCGCGGCCGCCGUCCGUCUGUCCCAGCGGCUGCUGGCCCUGGGGGGGGACGCGGGUCUGCGCAGCCGCUGGACGCACAUGAACGCGCUGCACUACGCCGCCUACUUCGACGUGCCCGAGCUCAUCCGCACCCUGCUCCGGGCGGCCGCGC